RNAcentral lists this ribosomal RNA (440 nucleotides) under uncultured bacterium. RNAcentral describes it as "bacterial SSU rRNA". It matches the Rfam family "Bacterial small subunit ribosomal RNA", at positions 338 to 770 of the family's 1533-position model. The record is from RNAcentral.
CCUACGGGAGGCAGCAGUGGGGAAUUUUGGACAAUGGGGGCAACCCUGAUCCAGCAAUGCCGCGUGAGUGAAGAAGGCCUUCGGGUUGUAAAGCUCUUUUGUCAGGAACGAAACGCGCUGAGCUAAUACCUCGGCGUAAUGACGGUACCUGAAGAAUAAGCACCGGCUAACUACGUGCCAGCAGCCGCGGUAAUACGUAGGGUGCGAGCGUUAAUCGGAAUUACUGGGCGUAAAGCGUGCGCAGGCGGUUGUGCAAGACAGAUGUGAAAUCCCCGGGCUUAACCUGGGAAUUGCAUUUGUGACUGCACGGCUAGAGUGUGUCAGAGGGAGGUAGAAUUCCACGUGUAGCAGUGAAAUGCGUAGAUAUGUGGAGGAAUACCGAUGGCGAAGGCAGCCUCCUGGGAUAACACUGACGCUCAUGCACGAAAGCGUGGGGAGCA